RNAcentral lists this ribosomal RNA (253 nucleotides) under uncultured bacterium. Its description in RNAcentral is "partial 16S ribosomal RNA". It matches the Rfam family "Bacterial small subunit ribosomal RNA", at positions 524 to 776 of the family's 1533-position model. The record is from RNAcentral.
UACAGAGGUCUCAAGCGUUGUCCGGAUUUAUUGGGCGUAAAGAGCGUGUAGGCGGCCUGACAGGUCUGCUGUGAAAACUCGAGGCUCAACCUCGAGAUGUCGGCGGAAACCGUCUGGCUAGAGUCCGGAAGAGGAGAGUGGAAUUCCUGGUGUAGCAGUGAAAUGCGUAGAUAUCGAGAGGAACACCAGUGGCGAAGGCGGGUCUCUGGACGAUUCCUGACGCUGAGGCACGAAAGCCAGGGGAGCAAACGGG